ACGGGUGAGUAACGCGUAAAGAACUUGCCUCACAGCUAGGGACAACAUUUAGAAAUGAAUGCUAAUACCUAAUAUUAUGAUAAUAGGGCAUCCUAUAAUUAUGAAAGCUAUAUGCGCUGUGAGAGAGCUUUGCGUCCCAUUAGCUAGUUGGAGAGGUAACGGCUCACCAAGGCGAUGAUGGGUAGCCGGCCUGAGAGGGUGAUCGGCCACAAGGGGACUGAGACACGGCCCUUACUCCUACGGGAGGCAGCAGUGGGGAAUAUUGGACAAUGGACCGAGAGUCUGAUCCAGCAAUUCUGUGUGCACGAUGAAGUUUUUCGGAAUGUAAAGUGCUUUCAGUUGGGAAGAAAGAAAUGACGGUACCAACAGAAGAAGUGACGGCUAAAUACGUGCCAGCAGCCGCGGUAAUACGUAUGUCACGAGCGUUAUCCGGAUUUAUUGGGCGUAAAGCGCGUCUAGGUGGUUAUAUAAGUCUGAUGUGAAAAUGCAGGGCUCAACUCUGUAUUGCGUUGGAAACUGUAUAACUAGAGUACUGGAGAGGUAAGCGGAACUACAAGUGUAGAGGUGAAAUUCGUAGAUAUUUGUAGGAAUGCCGAUGGGGAAGCCAGCUUACUGGACAGAUACUGACGCUG
Molecule: ribosomal RNA, 632 nt
Filed under: uncultured bacterium
Lineage: Bacteria
Description: bacterial SSU rRNA
Rfam family: Bacterial small subunit ribosomal RNA
Source: RNAcentral